AGUGAACGCUGGCGGUAGGCCUAACACAUGCCAGUCGAACGGCAGCACAGUAAGAGCUUGCUCUUACGGGUGGCGAGUGGCGGACGGGUGAGGAAUACAUCGGAAUCUACUUUUUCGUGGGGGAUAACGUAGGGAAACUUACGCUAAUACCGCAUACGACCUACGGGUGAAAGCAGGGGAUCUUCGGACCUUGCGCGAUUGAAUGAGCCGAUGUCGGAUUAGCUAGUUGGCGGGUUAAAGGCCCACCAAGGCGACGAUCCGUAGCUGGUCUGAGAGGAUGAUCAGCCACACUGGAACUGAGACACGGUCCAGACUCCUACGGGAGGCAGCAGUGGGGAAUAUUGGACAAUGGGCGCAAGCCUGAUCCAGCCAUACCGCGUGGGUGAAGAAGGCCUUCGGGUUGUAAAGCCCUUUUGUUGGGAAAGAAAAGCAGCAGGUUAAUACCCCGCUGUUCUGACGGUACCCAAAGAAUAAGCACCGGCUAACUUCGUG
RNAcentral lists this ribosomal RNA (492 nucleotides) under uncultured bacterium. Its description in RNAcentral is "partial 16S ribosomal RNA". It matches the Rfam family "Bacterial small subunit ribosomal RNA", at positions 29 to 507 of the family's 1533-position model. The record is from RNAcentral.